Molecule: ribosomal RNA, 460 nt
Filed under: uncultured bacterium
Lineage: Bacteria
Description: partial 16S ribosomal RNA
Rfam family: Bacterial small subunit ribosomal RNA
Source: RNAcentral
CCUACGGGUGGCAGCAGUGAGGAAUAUUGGUCAAUGGGCGCGAGCCUGAACCAGCCAAGUAGCGUGAAGGAUGACUGCCCUACGGGUUGUAAACUUCUUUUAUAAAGGAAUAAAGUGAGGCACGUGUGCCUUUUUGUAGGUACUUUAUGAAUAAGGGUCGGCUAACUCCGUGCCAGCAGCCGCGGUAAUACGGAGGACCCGAGCGUUAUCCGGAUUUAUUGGGGUUAAAGGGAGCGUAGAUGGGGUGUUAAUGCAGUUGUGAAAGUUUGCGGCUCAAACGGAAAAUUGCAGUUGAUACUGGCAGUCUUGAGUACAGAUGAGGUAGGCGGAAUUCGUGGUGUAGCGGUGAAAUGCAUAGAUAUCACGAAGAACACCGAUUGCGAAGGCAGCUUGCUAAGCUGCCACUGACACUGAGGCUCGAAGGUGUGGGUAUCAAACAGGAUUAGAUACCCGAGUAGUC